AAAAAAUAAAUAAGAAUAAAAAAUAUAAAAUAAAUAAUUUAUUUUGAAUUCGUUUUGAUCUGUCAAAUAAAUAGAGCGAAAGACGAGAGAUCAUUUUCUUCCUUCAAUCAAUUAUGAUUCAUUAAAAAUUUGCUAAAAAUUUACUCCCGUCUCAAUCCGUCCUGAAUAAGCGAUAAAUAAAAGUCAAAAAUAAAAUAAUAAAUAAUUUGUUUUGAAUUUGUUCUGUUUCAAUAAAAAUUAACACAGAAGUUCGAGAACCCUCCCG
This 265-nucleotide long non-coding RNA is filed under the name Ananas comosus (pineapple). RNAcentral describes it as "long non-coding RNA (ACOM_LNC004225)". The record is from RNAcentral. Lineage: Eukaryota; Viridiplantae; Streptophyta; Magnoliopsida; Poales; Bromeliaceae.